RNAcentral lists this transfer RNA (72 nucleotides) under Cronartium ribicola 11-2. Its description in RNAcentral is "tRNA-Pro (CGG) (tRNA-Pro-CGG-16-1)". It matches the Rfam family "tRNA". From Rfam's summary of the family: Transfer RNA (tRNA) molecules are approximately 80 nucleotides in length. Their secondary structure includes four short double-helical elements and three loops (D, anti-codon, and T loops). Lineage: Eukaryota; Fungi; Basidiomycota; Pucciniomycetes; Pucciniales; Coleosporiaceae. The record is from RNAcentral.
GUAUGCAUAGCUCAGCGGUUAUAGCAUCCCUCCGGUUGGAGGUGGUCAUGGGUUUGAAUCCCAUUGCACACA